Molecule: ribosomal RNA, 1003 nt
Filed under: uncultured bacterium
Lineage: Bacteria
Description: bacterial SSU rRNA
Rfam family: Bacterial small subunit ribosomal RNA
Source: RNAcentral
GGGGAAUAUUGCACAAUGGGGGAAACCCUGAUGCAGCGACGCCGCGUGGAGGAAGAAGGUCUUCGGAUUGUAAACUCCUGUUGUUGAGGAAGAUAAUGACGGUACUCAACAAGGAAGUGACGGCUAACUACGUGCCAGCAGCCGCGGUAAUACGUAUGGGGCAAGCGUUAUCCGGAUUUACUGGGUGUAAAGGGAGCGUAGGCGGCAUGGCAAGUCAGAAGUGAAAGCCUGGGGCUCAACCCCGGAACUGCUUUUGAAACUGUAAGGCUAGAGUGCAGGAGGGGUGAGUGGAAUUCCUAGUGUAGCGGUGAAAUGCGUAGAGAUUGGGAGGAACACCAGUGGCGAAGGCGACUAACUGGACUGUAACUGACGCUGAGGCGCGAAAGUGUGGGGAGCAAACAGGAUUAGAUACCCUGGUAGUCCACACUGUAAACGAUGAAUGCUAGGUGUAGGGGGUAUCGACCCCUUCUGUGCCGCAGUCAACACAAUAAGCAUUCCGCCUGGGGAGUACGGCCGCAAGGUUGAAACUCAAAGGAAUUGACGGGGGCCCGCACAAGCAGCGGAGCAUGUGGUUUAAUUCGACGCAACGCGAAGAACCUUACCAGGUCUUGACAUCCACUUAAACUUACAGAGAUGUAAGGUGUGCUUGCACAAAGUGAGACAGGUGGUGCAUGGUUGUCGUCAGCUCGUGUCGUGAGAUGUUGGGUUAAGUCCCGCAACGAGCGCAACCCUUAUCUUCAGUUACUAACGCGUGAGGGUGAGGACUCUGAAGAGACUGCCGGGGACAACUCGGAGGAAGGUGGGGACGACGUCAAAUCAUCAUGCCCCUUAUGACCUGGGCUACACACGUGCUACAAUGGCCACGACAGAGAGAAGCGAAAUCGUAAGGUAGAGCGGAACUCAAAAAAGUGGUCCCAGUUCGGAUUGUGGGCUGCAACCCGCCCACAUGAAGUCGGAGUUGCUAGUAAUCGCGGAUCAGCAUGCCGCGGUGAAUACGUUCCCG